Molecule: non-coding RNA, 223 nt
Rfam family: T-box leader
About the family: Uncharged tRNA acts as the effector for transcription antitermination of genes in the T-box leader family. T-boxes are found upstream of many aminoacyl-tRNA synthetase genes and some amino acid biosynthetic genes usually in Gram-positive bacteria. The anticodon of a specific tRNA base pairs to a specifier sequence within the T-box motif, and the NCCA acceptor tail of the tRNA base pairs to a conserved bulge in the T-box antiterminator hairpin.
GUUAUUACUAUGACGAGGAAUAGUAGAUAUUAAAAUCUUUUCAAAGAGAGGAAGUUAUUGGUGAAAGACUUCUAAAAGAUUAAUAUCAAACCAGCCUCUGAGUUCUGCACCGAAAAUAAUAGUAGGCUGCAGCGGAACCUCACCGUUAAAAUAAUGAGUGAAUAUAUUUUUAUAUAUUAAAUAUAUUAACAAGGGUGGUACCACCGUAAGCUCGGUCCCUAUU